Molecule: ribosomal RNA, 253 nt
Filed under: uncultured bacterium
Lineage: Bacteria
Description: partial 16S ribosomal RNA
Rfam family: Bacterial small subunit ribosomal RNA
Source: RNAcentral
UACGGAGGGUGCAAGCGUUAUCCGGAUUCACUGGGUUUAAAGGGUGCGUAGGCGGGCUUGUAAGUCAGUGGUGAAAGCCCGGAGCUUAACUCCGGAACUGCCAUUGAUACUGCAGGUCUUGAGUACACUUGAGGUGGGCGGAAUACAUCAUGUAGUGGUGAAAUACUUAGAUAUGAUGUAGAACACCGAUUGCGAAGGCAGCUCACUAAACUGUAACUGACGCUGAGGCACGAAAGCGUGGGGAUCAAACAGG